GAAAACUACGAGCAUUAGCUUAAAACUUAAUGGGCUUGGCGGUGCUUUAAACCCCCCUAGAGGAGCCUGUCCUGCAAUUAAUAAUCCCCGUUAAACCUUACCUUCUUUAGUAUUACAGCUUGUAUACCUCCAUCGUCAGUUUACCCCUUAAAGGCAAUAAAGUAAACGAAACCGCUUUUACCCCCAAACGCUAGGUCAAGGUGCAGUUAAUAAGAAGGGAAGAGAUGGGCUACAUUUCCUAAUUAGGAAACUACGGAUAAUGCAAUGAAACUUGCAUCUUGAAGGUGGAUUUAGCAGUAAGUAAAAAUCAGAGUGUUUUACUGAAGUAGGCUCUAAAGCGCGCACACACCGCCCGUCGCUCUCUCUUCAUUUCUUUUUCAAACGAUACAUAAUAAAACUUUUCUAAUAUAGGAGAGAAAAGUCGUAACAUGGUAAGUGUACUGGAAAGUGCACUUGGAAAAACAUAU
This 467-nucleotide ribosomal RNA is filed under the name Nematolebias whitei (Rio pearlfish). RNAcentral's name for it is "partial 12S ribosomal RNA". It matches the Rfam family "Bacterial small subunit ribosomal RNA", at positions 875 to 1533 of the family's 1533-position model. The record is from RNAcentral. Lineage: Eukaryota; Metazoa; Chordata; Actinopteri; Cyprinodontiformes; Rivulidae.